Long non-coding RNA from Anguilla rostrata (American eel), 1489 nucleotides. RefSeq lists it as uncharacterized. The transcript has 3 exons. Lineage: Eukaryota; Metazoa; Chordata; Actinopteri; Anguilliformes; Anguillidae. The record is from RefSeq and is a predicted model, not a curated record.
AACGUGAACUUUAUACUGUUGUCUUUCCUUGGAUCUCCUGUUCUCUCCAUCGUCGCAGACUUCGAGUCAGCAUAGAAAUUGAGCUCGACAACUUUUUUCUGCGAUUAUUGCUAUUCCUCAUUUCAGUUGGAUUUUAAGGACAUAGGUUGAUUUUCCAGCCCCCUCAUUGACACCCUGCUGCGCGCCAGUAAUUUUAUGACAAUCGCCUCUCUCUCUCUCUCUUGCUCUUGCUCUCGCUCUCUCUCUCUGCCCCUAGAGGCGAAACAGCGGAGUAUUUUGUUCCUGAUGUUGGACUGCGGUAGAUGCAAGAAAAAGGGCUGUAAAUUCUUUCGUUUGUUUUUAACGUAGUUUCUACUCCUCGGUUUCCUUCGAAAUAAGGGAUGCUUUCUACACUGUGCUUUUUGCUCCGUUCGCCUUCGCCCCCCGCCCGCCUUGCCGCCCGGACCAGAAAAUGUGCGUCACACCAACUAUACAGAGGACGCGGGUGUGCCGCAGUCUGGUGUCAGAUGACGACGGUGGGGAAAUAAAUCUGCCCCUGCCCAAGGAGUUUAAUCACAUCACUCCAGUGUUUUUUCACCGUCUGAGUUAGUGAAGCUACCUGUACCUGCCGACACCUCCGAUACUCGCCUGCCUGUCUACCCUUCGCGCAGUCGCGUGAACCAAUCAACGGGAACAGGGAGAGCAAUACACAUCCAAAAAGAUGAUGCCAGCAAAUUGUUGAAAAUGGAAAAUGGACACCCACCUUGAAUGCUACCCAUUAGUGUGGCCAUUGGAGAAGGCCUCUAUGCCAAAUGAAGAUCUGGUUCCAAGGUCGCGCAUUUAGUCUUGAGGUGGUCAGAAGCAAGCUCCUCUAACCCUUGGAGAAGAGCAACCAUGUCUAUGGCACGACUGAUAUUUUCUCUAUGGCAGGAUUGGAUUGGAUUAUUGUCCUGGCACGACAUACAAACCCCACCCCCUUCGAUGGAGUCACACUGCAGGCAUCCAUCUUGCAGCACUUUGAACAUUAGCAACCAAGCUCUUAUUAGCAACCAUCGCUGAUGACAUGCAAUAUCCACUUUGCCAAGAAUUUUGUUCCUACGGCUGUCCCAGCAUCUCAGCAAACUCAACUUUUCCUUGAUGUACACUUGUACAGUUGGGCAGAAGCACCUCAAAUGUAACACUUGAUAAAUGUAACAUGGUCAAUAACUUAAUAUACAGUGUGGCUACCAAAGCCAUUACAGGUUUGUACAUGUGCAGUGUAACUGGAAUAGCUAAUGACUACUGACAUGUCAAAAGUAGUAAAAUUUCAUAGUGCUAGGCUAAAUAUUUUCUAAGUAAAUGAACAAAAUCCAAAAACUGUGACAUUUAACAGGCGACUCUCCCCUACUUUUAUUAUUUAUUACUUUUAUUUUUUGCUAUGCACUUUAUAUUUCUGAUUAUUGUUUAUGCUGAGCAGUGGAGAUCUGUAUUCUUACGUAAAGGACAAUAAACAAUAUAUCUUUAAAAAGAA